This 474-nucleotide ribosomal RNA is filed under the name uncultured bacterium. RNAcentral's name for it is "bacterial SSU rRNA". It matches the Rfam family "Archaeal small subunit ribosomal RNA", at positions 723 to 1201 of the family's 1478-position model. The record is from RNAcentral.
ACCCAAUAGAUACCCGGGUAGUCCCAGCUGUAAACGAUGCAGGCUAGGUGUUUGGACGGCCACGUGCCGUUCUAGUGCCGCAGGGAAGCUGUUAAGCCUGCCGCCUGGGGAGUACGAUCGCAAGAUUGAAACUUAAAGGAAUUGGCGGGGGAGCACCACAAGGGGUGAAGCUUGCGGUUUAAUUGGAGUCAACGCCGGAAAUCUCACCGGGAGCGACAGCAGUGUGAAGGCCAGAUUAAAGGUCUUGCCAGACGAGCUGAGAGGAGGUGCAUGGCCGUCGCCAGUUCGUGCCGUGAGGUGUCCCUGUUAAGUCAGGCAACGAUCGAGACCCGCGUCCUCUGUUGCUACUAGCCUUGUGCUGGGCACACUGAGGAGACCGCCACUGAUAAAGUGGAGGAAGGAGCGGGGCCACGGCAGGGUCAGUAUGCCCCGAAUCUCCCGGGCCACACGCGAGCUGCAAUGGCAGUACAUGGU